GAUGAACGCUAGCGGCAGGCCUAACACAUGCAAGUCGAGGGGUAACUAGAGUGAUAGCAAUAUUACUUUGGCUAGACCGGCGCACGGGUGCGUAACGCGUAUGUAAUCUACCUUUUACAGGGGAUAGCCCAGAGAAAUUUGGAUUAAUACCCCAUAGUAUGUUGUGGUGGCAUCACUAUAACAUUAAAGUUCCAACGGUAAAAGAUGAGCAUGCGUCCCAUUAGCUAGAUGGUAAGGUAACGGCUUACCAUGGCUACGAUGGGUAGGGGUCCUAGGAGGGAGAUCCCCCACACUGGUCCUGAGACACGGACCAGACUCCUACGGGAGGCAGCAGUGAGGAAUAUGGGACAAUGGGCGCAAGCCUGAUCCAGCCAUGCCGCGUGCAGGAUGACGGUCCUAUGGAUUGUAAACUGCUUUUGUACAGGAAGAAACACUCCCUCGUGAGGGAGCUUGACGGUACUGUAAGAAUAAGGAUCGGCUAACUCCGUGCCAGCCGCCGCGGUAA
This 505-nucleotide ribosomal RNA is filed under the name uncultured bacterium. RNAcentral describes it as "partial 16S ribosomal RNA". It matches the Rfam family "Bacterial small subunit ribosomal RNA", at positions 28 to 523 of the family's 1533-position model. The record is from RNAcentral.